UGAAUACGAGACGCUAAGGCGUCGAAGUAGUGUAUGUCAUACUUCCAAGAGAAGCUUGCACUGUCAUAGAUAAAAAACGCCUGUACCAUAACCGACACAGGUGGGUAGGUAGAGUAUACUAAGGGGCGCGAGAUAACUCUCUCUAAGGAACUCGGCAAAAUAACUCCGUAACUUCGGGAGAAGGAGUGCCUUAUUCGUAAGGUUGCAAUAACAAGAUCCAAGCAACUGUUUAUCAAAAACACAGGUCUCCGCUAAGUCGUAAGACGAUGUAUGGGGGCUGACGCCUGCCCAGUGCCAGAAGGUUAAAGAAGUUGGUUAGCAAUUGCGAAGCUGAUAACUGAAGCCCUGGUGAACGGCGGCCGUAACUAUAACGGUCCUAAGGUAGCGAAAUUCCUUGUCGGGUAAGUUCCGACCCGCACGAAAGGCGUAAUGAUUUGGAUACUGUCUCGGAGAGGGGCUCGGUGAAAUAGACUUGUCUGUGAAGAUGCGGACUACCUGCACCAGGACAGAAAGACCCUAUGAAGCUUUACUGUAACUUGAAAUUGAAAUUGGACUUUAUUCGCGCAGUAUAGGUGGGAGGCGUUGAUUAUAAUCUUGUGGGAUUGUUGGAGCCAUCAGUGAGAUACCACUCUUGUAAUGUUAGAUUUCUAACUUUGAAUCAUUAUCUGGUCAAAGAACAGUUUCAGGCGGGCAGUUUGACUGGGGCGGUCGCCUCCUAAACGGUAACGGAGGCGUACAAAGGUUUCCUCUGAACGGUUAGAAAUCGUAUCUAGAGUGUAAAGGCAUAAGGAAGCUUGACUGUGAGACCUACAAGUCGAGCAGGGACGAAAGUCGGUCUUAGUGAUCUGACGGUACUGAGUGGAAAGGCCGUCACUCAACGGAUAAAAGUUACUCUAGGAUAACAGGCUGAUCUCCCCCAAGAGUUCACAUCGACGGGGAGGUUUGGCACCUCGAUGUCGGCUCAUCGCAUCCUGGGGCGGUAGUACGUCCCAAGGGUUGGGCUGUUCGCCACGAAAGCGGUACGCGAGCUGGGUUCAGAACGUCGUGAGACAGUUCGGUCCUUAUCCGGUGUAGGCGUUAGAAUAUUGAGAGGAGCCUUCUUUAGUACGAGAGGACCGAGAAGGACAUACCUCUGGUGUACCAGUUAUCGUGCCAACGGUAAACGCUGGGUAGCUAUGUAUGGAGUGGAUAACCGCUGAAAGCAUCUAAGUGGGAAGCCCACCUCAAGAUAAGUAUUCU
RNAcentral lists this ribosomal RNA (1239 nucleotides) under metagenome. RNAcentral's name for it is "bacterial LSU rRNA". It matches the Rfam family "Bacterial large subunit ribosomal RNA", at positions 1564 to 2814 of the family's 2925-position model. The record is from RNAcentral.